RNAcentral lists this ribosomal RNA (492 nucleotides) under uncultured bacterium. RNAcentral's name for it is "partial 16S ribosomal RNA". It matches the Rfam family "Bacterial small subunit ribosomal RNA", at positions 29 to 507 of the family's 1533-position model. The record is from RNAcentral.
AGUGAACGCUGGCGGUAGGCCUAACACAUGCAAGUCGAACGGCAGCACAGUAAGAGCUUGCUCUUACGGGUGGCGAGUGGCGGACGGGUGAGGAAUAUAUCGGAAUCUACUUUUUCGUGGGGGAUAACGUAGGGAAACUUACGCUAAUACCGCAUACGACCUACGGGUGAAAGCAGGGGAUCUUCGGACCUUGCGCGAUUGAAUGAGCCGAUGUGGGAGUAGCUAGUUGGCGGGGUAAAGGCCCACCAAGGCGACGAUCCGUAGCUGGUCUGAGUGGAUGGUCGGCCACACUGGAACGGAGACACGGUCCAGAGGCCUACGGGAGGCAGCAGUGGGGAAUGUGAGACAACGGUCGCAAGUCUGAUCCAGCCAGACCGCGUGGGUGAAGAAGGCCUUCGGGUUGUAAAGCCCUUUUGUUGGGAAAGAAAAGCAGCAGGUUAAUACCCCGCUGUUCUGACGGUACCCAAAGAAUAAGCACCGGCUAACUUCGUG